CUGAGUACGGCGGAACACGUGAAAUUCCGUCGGAAUCCGGGAGGACCAUCUCCCAAGGCUAAAUACUCCCUAGUGACCGAUAGUGAACCAGUACCGUGAGGGAAAGGUGAAAAGCACCCCGGAAGGGGAGUGAAACAGUUCCUGAAACCGUGUGCCUACAAGUAGUUAGAGCCCGUUAAUGGGUGAUAGCGUGCCUUUUGUAGAAUGAACCGGCGAGUUACGAUUUGUUGCAAGGUUAAGCGGAAAAAGCGGAGCCGUAGCGAAAGCGAGUCUGAAUAGGGCGCAUAAGUAACAGGUCGUAGACCCGAAACCAGGUGAUCUACCCAUGUCCAGGAUGAAGGUAAGGUAAUACUUACUGGAGGUCCGAACCCACGCACGUUGAAAAGUGCGGGGAUGAGGUGUGGGUAGCGGAGAAAUUCCAAUCGAACUUGGAGAUAGCUGGUUCUCUCCGAAAUAGCUUUAGGGCUAGCCUCGAGGUAAAGAGUCAUGGAGGUAGAGCACUGUUUGGACUAGGGGCCCUUCUCGGGUUACCGAAUUCAGAUAAACUCCGAAUGCCAUGUACUUAUACUCGGGAGUCAGACUGCGAGUGAUAAGAUCCGUAGUCGAAAGGGAAACAGCCCAGACCACCAGUUAAGGUCCCCAAAUAUAUGUUAAGUGGAAAAGGAUGUGGGGUUGCUUAGACAACCAGGAUGUUGGCUUAGAAGCAGCCACCAUUGAAAGAGUGCGUAAUAGCUCACUGGUCGAGUGACCCCGCGCCGAAAAUGUACCGGGGCUAAACAUAUUACCGAAACUGUGGAUGAACCUCUUUAGAGGUUCGUGGUAGGAGAGCGUUCUAAGGGCGGUGAAGUCAGACCGGAAGGACUGGUGGAGCGCUUAGAAGUGAGAAUGCCGGUAUGAGUAGCGAAAGAAGGGUGAGAAUCCCUUCCACCGAAUAUCUAAGGUUUCCUGAGGAAGGCUCGUCCGCUCAGGGUUAGUCGGGACCUAAGCCGAGGCCGAUAGGCGUAGGCGAUGGACAACAGGUAGAGAUUCCUGUACCAGUGCUAAUUGUUUAACCGAUGGGGUGACACAGAAGGAUAGGGAAUCGCACGAAUGGAAAUGUGCGUCCAAGCAGUGAGUGUGAGAAGUAGGCAAAUCCGCUUCUC
Molecule: ribosomal RNA, 1142 nt
Filed under: Listeria monocytogenes
Lineage: Bacteria; Bacillati; Bacillota; Bacilli; Caryophanales; Listeriaceae
Description: partial 23S ribosomal RNA
Rfam family: Bacterial large subunit ribosomal RNA
Source: RNAcentral